AUUGAACGCUGGCGGCAGGCCUAACACAUGCAAGUCGAGCGAGCGGCGGACGGGUGAGUAAUGUAUGGGGACUGCCCGAUAGAGUGGGAUAACUCCUUGAAACGGUAGCUAAUACCGCAUUCUAUCGGGUAUCCCAUAUGGGAUUAGCUGGUAGGUGGGGUGAUGGCUCACCUCGACGACGAUCCCUAGCGGGUCUGCGAGGAUGAUCAGGCACCCUGGGACUGAGACACGGCCCAGAGUCCUACGGAGGCAGCAGUGGGGAAUAUGGCACAAUGGGCGCAAGCCUGAUGCAGCCAGGCCGCGUGUAUGAAGAAGGCCCUAGGGUUGUAAAGUACUUUCAGUCGGGAGGCGUUACCGGCAGAAGAAGCACCGGCUAACUACGUGCCAGCAGCCGCGGUAAUUC
This 403-nucleotide ribosomal RNA is filed under the name uncultured bacterium. RNAcentral describes it as "partial 16S ribosomal RNA". It matches the Rfam family "Bacterial small subunit ribosomal RNA", at positions 30 to 526 of the family's 1533-position model. The record is from RNAcentral.